Molecule: long non-coding RNA, 614 nt
Filed under: Pan troglodytes (chimpanzee)
Lineage: Eukaryota; Metazoa; Chordata; Mammalia; Primates; Hominidae
Description: long non-coding RNA NONPTRT013566
Source: RNAcentral
CAAAUAAUCUGAACCAGGGUAAAACCAUUACAAAGUGGCCUUCAAACAUCAUGUCUGUAUUGGAACUGAAUGAUUGAUCAGACAUUUAAAUACGGAAACUGGGAAUUCAGCUGACCAGAAUUUCACCAGGGUGACAUGACAGUUUGUUGCUAAGGAACUGAAGACUAUGUCAUAAGUGAGCAUUCUGAUGAAGAGGAGUGAACAGUUUGCAGCAGAUUGGAUAUUAAGUAUAAAUCAGCUCUCUGUGUAUGUCCCUGUGUGGUGGUGUAACUGACAACAGGUAGGGUUCCUGAUGGGAUUGGGUUCCACCAAUCAGAGCCACUUGCAUGAGACCUCAACUGAGAGCCAGAUGGAAACCACUGGACAGUAGUGACAUGGUUAAGUGGAGUCUGAGCCAUUCUCUUGGAAAAGCAAGCAAUCAUCAGAAUAAUGGGUAUGAAGACAAUGCAAUGACAAGGGAAGUGCUGCUGAGAUUGACUGACAAAUGACAACAGGAUAAGAAACUGAAUGCAAGAUGUGCCCCUCUCCCCCUACCAAGAAUAGAAGCCCCUAGGAGCGAGACUUUUGAUCUAUUUUGUUCAGGGUCCUAUCCCCAGCAAGUGGCAAUGGUAGGC